This 467-nucleotide ribosomal RNA is filed under the name uncultured bacterium. Its description in RNAcentral is "partial 16S ribosomal RNA". It matches the Rfam family "Bacterial small subunit ribosomal RNA", at positions 29 to 507 of the family's 1533-position model. The record is from RNAcentral.
ACGAACGCUGGCGGCGUGCUUAACACAUGCAAGUCGAACGGAAAGGCCCUGCUUUUGUGGGGUUCUCGUGUGGCGAACGGGUGAGUAACACGUGAGUAACCUGCCCUUGACUUUGGGAUAACUUCAGGAAACUGGGGCUAAUACCGGAUAGGAGCUCCUGCUGCAUGGUGGGGGUUGGAAAGUUUCGGCGGUUGGGGAUGGACUCGCGGCUUAUCAGCUUGUUGGUGGGGUAGUGGCUUACCAAGGCUUUGACGGGUAGCCGGCCUGAGAGGGUGACCGGAAAAAUUGGGAAGGAGAUACGGCCCAGACUCCGACGGGAGGCAGGAGUGGGGAAUAUUGCACAAUGGGCGGAAGCCUGAUGCAGCAACGCCGCGUGCGGGAUGACGGCCUUCGGGUUGUAAACCGCUUUCGCCUGUGACGAAGCGUGAGUGACGGUAAUGGGUAAAGAAGCACCGGCUAACUACGUG